UAGCAUUGUACAAUACUUGUUGUCAGCUAGAUGCAAAGUAUGCCAACUGAGAAUAACAGCAGGUGGCAUGAGAGAUUGUCAAAAUUAGCAUCACUGCAACAAAACAGGCAUAAAGUAGUAUCAGACUAUCAGAAGUGGUCCUACUCAUUGUUGAAGGAAUCAGACCUGAGAAGUAAAAACAUGUAUCCUGGCAAAAACAAAACAUCUGUUUCUCACAGUCUCACUCACUUAAGCUCAAUUUGAACUGUUCAAAGCAAAUUCUAGAGUACUACCUUCAUGCCUCAAGCAUCUUUGCUGAUGCAUGUAGUGUUGCUGCAGUGUGUCACAUGACAUGCAUGAAGUUAGAUCCAAAUCCCAAACUGUGAGCCAAAGAGCAAAGGCUGUUUCAUGGCAGUUAAAAGCAGAUGGGGUCACUGUAUAAACAGGGCUGACAAGGUAGUGCGAGAGAUCCAUUGCUUUGCUGCCACAAGCGUGACAUAAGUGAUGGGCCAAGGCUGAGCAGAGCCGUUUGCUCUACCAUCAGUACAAGGGAUAAACUACCGAAGUUUUAACCUCUUAUCCCACAUUUCUACGUUUCUGGGGCUUUGAUUCUUUGAAGAUUUCAGUUAAUAUCUUUAAACAUUAUGUUCUGAUUAAUUUCCAUUUUUGGAGUGAAUUCUGCUUUGUGUUGAUAAGAAUUCUGCGUUGUGUGGAUAAGAUGAGAUAAGACUAUUCCAAAAUAUCAAUCAAUAAUUGAUUGUUGAUUACAAGUUCUUAUCAGUAUAAUUCUAAUAAAUUGCUUUCAAAUUCUUCC
Populus nigra (black poplar) is the source of this 793-nucleotide long non-coding RNA. RefSeq lists it as uncharacterized. The record is from RefSeq and is a predicted model, not a curated record. Lineage: Eukaryota; Viridiplantae; Streptophyta; Magnoliopsida; Malpighiales; Salicaceae. The transcript has 2 exons.